RNAcentral lists this ribosomal RNA (468 nucleotides) under uncultured bacterium. Its description in RNAcentral is "partial 16S ribosomal RNA". It matches the Rfam family "Bacterial small subunit ribosomal RNA", at positions 28 to 507 of the family's 1533-position model. The record is from RNAcentral.
GACGAACGCUGGCGGCGUGCUUAACACAUGCAAGUCGAACGGAAAGGCCCUGCUUUUGUGGGGUGCUCGAGUGGCGAACGGGUGAGUAACACGUGAGUAACCUGCCCUUGACUUUGGGAUAACUUCAGGAAACUGGGGCUAAUACCGGAUAGGAGCUCCUGCUGCAUGGUGGGGGUUGGAAAGUUUCGGCGGUUGGGGAUGGACUCGCGGCUUAUCAGCUUGUUGGUGGGGUAGUGGCUUACCAAGGCUUUGACGGGUAGCCGGCCUGAGAGGGUGACCGGCCAAAUUGGGACUGAGAUACGGCCCAGACUCCUACGGGAGGCAGCAGUGGGGAAUAUUGCACAAUGGGCGGAAGCCUGAUGCAGCAACGCCGCGUGCGGGAUGACGGCCUUCGGGUUGGAAACCGCUUUCGCCUGUGACGAAGCGUGAGUGACGGUAAUGGGUAAAGAAGCACCGGCUAACUACGUG